MicroRNA precursor from Chlorocebus sabaeus (green monkey), 67 nucleotides. The record is from Ensembl. NCBI's taxonomy places the organism in Eukaryota, Metazoa, Chordata, Mammalia, Primates, Cercopithecidae.
CCCAGUGUGUAUGUAGAGGAAAGAGGGAGGCUGGGAACCUGACUGCUUCUCCCUCUUUACCCACUAG